RNAcentral lists this ribosomal RNA (93 nucleotides) under Meriones unguiculatus (Mongolian gerbil). Lineage: Eukaryota; Metazoa; Chordata; Mammalia; Rodentia; Muridae. The record is from RNAcentral.
AGAUUUGUUAACGCCACCUUGAAUACAACCAAUAUUGUCUGAUCUUAGAAGCUAAGCAGGGUCAGGCCUAGUUAGUAAUUGGCAGAAGCUCUA